UACGGAGCGGCAGACGGGUGAGUAACGCGUGGGAACGUGCCUUUUGGUUCGGAACAACACAGGGAAACUUGUGCUAAUACCGGAUAAGCCUUACGGGGAAAGAUUUAUCGCCAAAAGAUCGGCCCGCGUCUGAUUAGCUAGUUGGUGAGGUAACGGCUCACCAAGGCGACGAUCAGUAGCUGGUCUGAGAGGAUGAUCAGCCACACUGGGACUGAGACACGGCCCAG
RNAcentral lists this ribosomal RNA (227 nucleotides) under uncultured bacterium. RNAcentral's name for it is "partial 16S ribosomal RNA". It matches the Rfam family "Bacterial small subunit ribosomal RNA", at positions 89 to 334 of the family's 1533-position model. The record is from RNAcentral.